GCUGGGCUCAGUGGCCUAUGCCUGUAAUCCCAGCAACUUGGGAGGCUAAUGCAGGAGGAUCACAAGUUCAAAACCAGCUUCAUGAUUUAGUGAGGCCCUAAGCAACUUAGAGAGACCUUGUCUCAC
Molecule: small RNA, 126 nt
Filed under: Marmota monax (woodchuck)
Lineage: Eukaryota; Metazoa; Chordata; Mammalia; Rodentia; Sciuridae
Source: RNAcentral